Molecule: ribosomal RNA, 497 nt
Filed under: uncultured bacterium
Lineage: Bacteria
Description: partial 16S ribosomal RNA
Rfam family: Bacterial small subunit ribosomal RNA
Source: RNAcentral
GAUGAACGCUGGCGGCGUGCCUAGUACAUGCAAGUCGAGCGAACAGACGAGGAGCUUGCUCCUCUGACGUUAGCGGCGGACGGGUGAGUAACACGUGGAUAACCUACCUAUAAGACUGGGAUAACUUCGGGAAACCGGAGCUAAUACCGGAUAAUAUAUUGAACCGCAUGGUUCAAUAGUGAAAGACGGUUUUGCUGUCACUUAUAGAGGGAUCCGCGCCGCAUUAGCUAGUUGGUAAGGUAACGGCCUACCAAGGCAACGAUGCGUAGCCGACCUGAGAGGGUGAUCGGCCACACUGGAACUGAGACACGGUCCAGACUCCUACGGGAGGCAGCAGUAGGGAAUCUUCCGCAAUGGGCGAAAGCCUGACGGAGCAACGCCGCGUGAGUGAUGAAGGUCUUCGGAUCGUAAAACUCUGUUAUUAGGGAAGAACAAAUGUGUAAGUAACUAUGCACGUCUUGACGGUACCUAAUCAGAAAGCCACGGCUAACUACGUG